Molecule: ribosomal RNA, 468 nt
Filed under: uncultured bacterium
Lineage: Bacteria
Description: partial 16S ribosomal RNA
Rfam family: Bacterial small subunit ribosomal RNA
Source: RNAcentral
GACGAACGCUGGCGGCGUGCUUAACACAUGCAAGUCGAACGGAAAGGCCCUGCUUUUGUGGGGUGCUCGAGUGGCGAACGGGUGAGUAACACGUGAGUAACCUGCCCUUGACUUUGGGAUAACUUCAGGAAACUGGGGCUAAUACCGGAUAGGAGCUCCUGCUGCAUGGUGGGGGUUGGAAAGUUUCGGCGGUUGGGGAUGGACUCGCGGCUUAUCAGCUUGUUGGUGGGGUAGUGGAUUACCAAGGCUUUGACGGGUAGCCGGCCUGAGAGGGUGACCGGCCACAUUAGGACUGAGAUACGACCCAGACUCCUGCGGGAGGCAGCAGUGAGGAAUAUUGCACAAUAGGAGGAAGCCUGAUGCAGCAACGCCGCGUGCGGGAUGACGGCCUUCGGGUUGUAAACCGCUUUCGCCUGUGACGAAGCGUGAGUGACGGUAAUGGGUAAAGAAGCACCGGCUAACUACGUG